GACGAACGCUGGCGGCGUGCUUAACACAUGCAAGUCGAACGGAAAGGCCUGCUUUCCCUUGUGGAUUGCGGGUACUCGAGUGGCGAACGGGUGAGUAACACGUGAGUGAUCUGCCCCCAACUUGGGUAUAAGCCUGGGAAACUGUGUCUAAUUACCGAUAGGACUGCAGGGUGGUGCCUGUGGUGGAAAACGAUUUUCUAGUGGUUGGGGAUGAGCUCGCGGCCUAUCAGCUUGUUGGUGGGGUAAUGGCCUACCAAGGCGGCGACGGGUAGCCGGCCGGAGAGCGUCGACGGUCACAUUGGGACUGAGAUACGGCCCAGACUCCUACGGGAGGCAGCAGUGGGGAAUAUUGCACAACGGGCGGAAGCCUGAUGCAGCGACUCCGCGUGGGGGAUGACGGCCUUCGGGUUGUAAACUCCUUUCGACCGAGAGGAAGCCACCUGGUUGGAAGGGUGGUGACGGUAGUGGUAGAAGAAGCACCGGCUAACUACGUG
RNAcentral lists this ribosomal RNA (494 nucleotides) under uncultured bacterium. Its description in RNAcentral is "partial 16S ribosomal RNA". It matches the Rfam family "Bacterial small subunit ribosomal RNA", at positions 28 to 507 of the family's 1533-position model. The record is from RNAcentral.